RNAcentral lists this ribosomal RNA (468 nucleotides) under uncultured bacterium. RNAcentral describes it as "partial 16S ribosomal RNA". It matches the Rfam family "Bacterial small subunit ribosomal RNA", at positions 28 to 507 of the family's 1533-position model. The record is from RNAcentral.
GACGAACGCUGGCGGCGUGCUUAACACAUGCAAGUCGAACGGAAAGGCCCUGCUUUUGUGGGGUGCUCGAGUGGCGAACGGGUGAGUAACACGUGAGUAACCUGCCCCUGACUUUGGGAUAACUUCAGGAAACUGGGGCUGAUACCGGAUAGGAGCUCCUGCUGCAUGGUGGGGGUUGGAAAGUUUCGGCGGUUGGGGAUGGACUCGCGGCUUAUCAGCUUGUUGGUGGGGUAGUGGCUUACCAAGGCUUUGACGGGUAGCCGGCCUGAGAGGGUGACCGGCCACAUUGGGACUGAGAUACGGCCCAGACUCCUACGGGAGGCAGCAGUGGGGAAUAUUGCACAAUGGGCGGAAGCCUGAUGCAGCAACGCCGCGUGCGGGAUGACGGCCUUCGGGUUGUAAACCGCUUUCGCCUGUGACGAAGCGUGAGUGACGGUAAUGGGUAAAGAAGCACCGGCUAACUACGUG